This 492-nucleotide ribosomal RNA is filed under the name uncultured bacterium. RNAcentral describes it as "partial 16S ribosomal RNA". It matches the Rfam family "Bacterial small subunit ribosomal RNA", at positions 29 to 507 of the family's 1533-position model. The record is from RNAcentral.
AGUGAACGCUGGCGGUAGGCCUAACACAUGCAAGUCGAACGGCAGCACAGUAAGAGCUUGCUCUUACGGGUGGCGAGUGGCGGACGGGUGAGGAAUACAUCGGAAUCUACUUUUUCGUGGGGGAUAACGUAGGGAAACUUACGCUAAUACCGCAUACGACCUACGGGUGAAAGCAGGGGAUCUUCGGACCUUGCGCGAUUGAAUGAGCCGAUGUCGGAUUAGCUAGUUGGCGGGGUAAAGGCCCACCAAGGCGACGAUCCGUAGCUGGUCUGAGAGGAUGAUCAGCCACACUGGAACUGAGACACGGUCCAGACUCCUACGGGAGGCAGCAGUGGGGAAUAUUGGACAAUGGGCGCAAGCCUGAUCCAGCCAUACCGCGUGGGUGAAGAAGGCCUGCGGGUUGUAAAGCCCUUUUGUUGGGAAAGAAAAGCGGCAGGUUAAUACCCCGCGGUUCUGACGGUACCCAAAGAAUAAGCACCGGCUAACUUCGUG